RNAcentral lists this ribosomal RNA (484 nucleotides) under uncultured bacterium. RNAcentral describes it as "partial 16S ribosomal RNA". It matches the Rfam family "Bacterial small subunit ribosomal RNA", at positions 30 to 507 of the family's 1533-position model. The record is from RNAcentral.
AUUGAACGCUGGCGGCAGGCCUAACACAUGCAAGUCGAGCGGAUGAAGGGAGCUUGCUCCUGGAUUCAGCGGCGGACGGGUGAGUAAUGCCUAGGAAUCUGCCUGGUAGUGGGGGAUAACGUCCGGAAACGGGCGCUAAUACCGCAUACGUCCUGAGGGAGAAAGUGGGGGAUCUUCGGACCUCACGCUAUCAGAUGAGCCUAGGUCGGAUUAGCUAGUUGGUGGGGUAAAGGCCUACCAAGGCGACGAUCCGUAACUGGUCUGAGAGGAUGAUCAGUCACACUGGAACUGAGACACGGUCCAGACUCCUACGGGAGGCAGCAGUGAGGAAUAUUGGACAAUGGGCGAAAGCCUGAUCCAGCCAUGCCGCGUGUGUGAAGAAGGUCUUCGGAUUGUAAAGCACUUUAAGUUGGGAGGAAGGGCAGUAAGUUAAUACCUUGCUGUUUUGACGUUACCAACAGGAUAAGCACCGGCUAACUUCGUG